GAUGAACGCUGGCGGCGUGCCUAAUACAUGCAAGUCGAGCGAACGGACGAGAAGCUUGCUUUUCUGAUGUUAGCGGCGGACGGGUGAGUAACACGUGGAUAACCUACCUAUAAGACUGGGAUAACUUCGGGAAACCGGAGCUAAUACCGGAUAAUAUUUUGAACCGCAUGGUUCAAAAGUGAAAGACGGUCUUGCUGUCACUUAUAGAUGGAUCCGCGCUGCAUUAGCUAGUUGGUAAGGUAACGGCUUACCAAGGCAACGAUGCAUAGCCGACCUGAGAGGGUGAUCGGCCUCACUGGAACUGAGACACGGUCCAGACUCCUACGGGAGGCAGCAGUAGGGAAUCUUCCGCAAUGGGCGAAAGCCUGACGGAGCAACGCCGCGUGAGUGAUGAAGGUCUUCGGAUCGUAAAACUCUGUUAUUAGGGAAGAACAUAUGUGUAAGUAACUGUGCACAUCUUGACGGUACCUAAUCAGAAAGCCACGGCUAACUACGUG
This 497-nucleotide ribosomal RNA is filed under the name uncultured bacterium. Its description in RNAcentral is "partial 16S ribosomal RNA". It matches the Rfam family "Bacterial small subunit ribosomal RNA", at positions 28 to 507 of the family's 1533-position model. The record is from RNAcentral.